UAGCAAUGCUGCUGUAGGUGGGGGUGGCGGCAGUGGUAAUAAUAAUAAUUCAGGUUCUCAAUCUUCUCAGCACAUGGGCGAGCAUGGUUCGAUGCCUGUCUACAAUUUGCCUCCUAAUUUGCUACCCAAUGGGCAAAUGCCACAGGAGGUGUUUUGGUGUCCUCCUCGUCAUCCACCUCCCUCUUACUGAUGUGUGUGUGAGAAAGGGGGAGGGGCUAGAGUUGUUAGCUUUGGAUUAGCCAACCGAAAUGUGCAAAAAUGUACUGGAAAUUUUCAUGUAAGCAUCAUAUAACAAGGAAG
RNAcentral lists this unclassified non-coding RNA (300 nucleotides) under Hevea brasiliensis (rubber tree). The record is from RNAcentral. Lineage: Eukaryota; Viridiplantae; Streptophyta; Magnoliopsida; Malpighiales; Euphorbiaceae.